Molecule: ribosomal RNA, 930 nt
Filed under: uncultured Bacillus sp.
Lineage: Bacteria; Bacillati; Bacillota; Bacilli; Caryophanales; Bacillaceae
Description: bacterial SSU rRNA
Rfam family: Bacterial small subunit ribosomal RNA
Source: RNAcentral
AUUGAGAGUUUGAUCCUGGCUCAGGACGAACGCUGGCGGCGCGCUUAACACAUGCAAGUCGUGCGGUACCGAUGGCAAGUCCUUACAGACGAGCUUUCGGUACAGCGGCGGACGGGUGAGUAACACGUGAGUAGCUGUCCUAAGGAGGGGGAUAACGCCUGGAAACGGGUGCUAAUACCCCAUAUGCCUCGCAAGAGGUGAAAGUGUACUCGUUACAGCCUUAGGGUGCGCUCGCGGCCUAUCAGCUAGUUGGUGAGGUAACGGCUCACCAAGGCUAAGACGGGUAGCCGGCCUGAGAGGGUGUACGGCCACACUGGAAUUGAGAUACGGUCCAGACUCCUACGGGAGGCAGCAGUGGGGAAUCUUGGGCAAUGGGCGAAAGCCUGACCCAGCGACGCCGCGUUGGGGAUGAAGCCCUUCGGGGCGUAAACCCAUGUUGUAGGGGACGAAGAAAGUGACGGUACCCUACGAGAAAGCCCCGGCCAACUACGUGCCAGCAGCCGCGGUAAAACGUAGGGGGCGAGCGUUGUCCGGAAUUACUGGGCGUAAAGGGCACGCAGGCGGUACGCCAGUCGGAGGUGUAAAGUUACGGCUCAACCGUGACCUUGCAAUCGAUACUGGCGUACUGGAGUGCGGGAGAGGGAAGUGGAAUUCCCGGUGUAGCGGUGAAAUGCGUAGAUAUCGGGAGGAACGCCAGUGGCGAAGGCGGCUUCCUGGCCCGCAACUGACGCUCAUGUGCGAAAGCCAGGGAGCGAACCGGAUUAGAUACCCGGGUAGUCCUGGCCGUAAACGAUGGGUGCUAGGUGUAGCGCGUCAAGCGUCUGUGCCGCAUUUACGCGAUAGCACCUCGCCUGGGGAGUACGUCGCAAGGCUGAACUCAAGGAUUGACGGGGGCCCGCACAAGCGGUGGAGCACGUGUUUAAUCGAUGC